GUGAUUUUUUUGCAGGCUGGUUCACGAAUAUUGUGUGUGUUCUAAUGUUGAAUUACAACUUCACGUGUACCCUGCCAGCAGGUGAUUACUGAAUGCUCAAGUGCAUUGUAUUGAGCUGUAGGCUAUUUGGGUUUGGUUAGGCAGAGCAUUAGAAGGUCAAUGCCUUUUUUUUCAGUAGCAUUGAGUCUAUUAGUAAUCCAGUAGAAAUUGUUCCCUCUUCACUAGUAGCCCCAACUGUCUUUUUUUUUGUUCAGUAGUAUUUAUCAUUAUAAUUUUUCUCCCUUCAAUAAUAGCACCUAAGUUGCAGGAAUCGGAGCGAUCAGCCACUUGCGAACUUUCGUGGAUGGCGCAGGUGUUGGAGGGCCGUGACCUCUGAGAGCUCCACUGUGCUAGGAAGAAAAGAUAUAAUUUGACUGCAUAGUGAUGAAAUGUUUCCCUAGCCACAAAGGAUUCAACCAGCUGUGAAUAAGAUUAUAUGUCAUGUUACUAAUAAGAGAAAUACCAGUUACUAAAAGGAACAAAUCUACUGAAAGAUGUUGCCUAUUGUAAUUGAGAAAUGUUUUGGUAAAAGAUGUGAAAUGUUUUUGUAAUCAAGUAGGCUAUAGUAGUAUAGAGAUCAGUAGUAUUGAGGUAUGGUUUUGUAAUCAAGCAGGC
RNAcentral lists this long non-coding RNA (654 nucleotides) under Setaria viridis. RNAcentral's name for it is "long non-coding RNA (SVIR_LNC010018)". The record is from RNAcentral. Lineage: Eukaryota; Viridiplantae; Streptophyta; Magnoliopsida; Poales; Poaceae.